UCGUGCCAUCUGGACUUCUCCAAUAAUGAGCUCCUUCAUUUGUCUGUCGGACUGCUCCAAAUGCUCUCUGAGCUUCACUAUCAGUCAAUUUUCUACAGUGAUCGACUGUUCUCUGAAUCUCUUCCAGACUUCCUCCUGUCACGAUCGACUUUACUCCGAGCUUCUUUCGAACUUUGUCAAAUGUUCGAGCUUCCCCAGC
RNAcentral lists this long non-coding RNA (199 nucleotides) under Elaeis guineensis (African oil palm). RNAcentral's name for it is "long non-coding RNA (EGUI_LNC038972)". The record is from RNAcentral. Lineage: Eukaryota; Viridiplantae; Streptophyta; Magnoliopsida; Arecales; Arecaceae.